CCGAGUCCUACCUCCAGCCAAGUGGCCCUGCCUCCGUUUGGGCAAGCGCCGAGGUCUCCAGCGAUUAUUAUUUCACUAGGGAUAAAAGGUUUUGGACCUUAUAGAAAUUAUAUCAUCUCCAGCUUGGAAGCAGUGAAGCAAAUAUGGCAAACACACUAGCUGUCUGUGCACGUUGGAAUGGCCUCCAAAUCCAAAGCAAUCACCCUGGAGCAAUGUGGAAGGAACAAAGGCUACAUGGAAAAGGACCUCGGCAGCGCUCACCCACACGGCGGCUG
Xenopus laevis (African clawed frog) is the source of this 275-nucleotide long non-coding RNA. RefSeq lists it as uncharacterized. NCBI's taxonomy places the organism in Eukaryota, Metazoa, Chordata, Amphibia, Anura, Pipidae. The transcript has 3 exons. The record is from RefSeq and is a predicted model, not a curated record.